GGAGCAUUGCUCUGUGAGCCUGGAAACCUCUCUGGUCUGUGAUGACUCCAGGCCAUGGCAUUGGCAGAGCUGAUCGAGCUUCUCAGCUGGAUCCUGGUUAUGAGCCUUGGGCUGUCCCAGAGGUGACUGAGGAAGAAGGAGAUCACAACAUGCCAUGGAAGCUCCUCACCCGUGUUUGACUCCCUGUUUGGUUCCUGCAGUCCAUGGUGAUCAAGCCUCUUGGUGUAAUCCUGUUCCUGAGCCUGGGGGCAAUCCCAGGGCCGUCCCUGUAGGCAGCAGCUACUUGACUUCUUGACUUGAGUCUGUCCGUGAGCCUCGGGGCGACCCCACAGGUACGACCUUGGAACAAAUCACAGUAUCACAGUAUCACAGUAUGUUUGGGGUUGGAAGGGACCUCAAAAGCUCAUCCAGUCCAAUCCCCUUGCUGGAGCAGGAACACCCAGGUGAGGUCGCACAGGAACAUGUCCAGGCAGGUUUUGAAUGUCUCCAGAGAAGGAGACUCCACAACCCCCCUGGGCAGCCUGUUCAGUGCUCUGUCACCCUUACUGAGAAGAAGUUUUUUCUCAAAUUUAAG
Columba livia (rock pigeon) is the source of this 574-nucleotide long non-coding RNA. RefSeq lists it as uncharacterized. The record is from RefSeq and is a predicted model, not a curated record. The transcript has 3 exons. NCBI's taxonomy places the organism in Eukaryota, Metazoa, Chordata, Aves, Columbiformes, Columbidae.